CUUUUCUUCUAUAGUAUCUUCAGUGCCUGAGAUUCUGUCUUCCAUCUUUUGUCUUCUGCUGGGGAAGUUUGCAUCUGAAGGUACCUGUUAGAUUUCCCAAAUGUUUCAUUUCCAUAAUUAUUUCAGCUUUGAUUUCUUUAUUGAUUCCAUUUCCAAUUCCAUGUCUUGAGCAGUGUUAUUCAUUUCAUUCCACUGUCUAUUUCACUUUUUCUGGAUUUCUUCAAGGGAUUUAUUGAUUUCAUCUACAAGGAGCUCUGUCAUCUUCAUAUGAGCUUCAUUAAAGUCUUUUUCUUGUGCUUCAGCUAUAUUGAAUAUUCAGGGCUAUUGCAUAAUAUGAAAGGAUAUCUGGCAUCUAGUGGGGACAUCUUGCCCUGACUGAUACUGUGUUUCUACACUGUAGGGUUUGGGACAAUUGCAAUGCUAGAUGCUAAUGUCUGAUCUUGUCUGCAUUGUGUGGGUGUUUUGUUCCUUGGUGUCUGCUUCCUAUGUAUUUUCAGAGAGUGUGGUGGCUGUGUUGCCUGAAUUCCUGGACUGGUGUGUUCACAGCAAAUGUCUGCUGCUAUUAGUGUUUGGGACCAUGGUAUGAGUUGGGGGAGGAAGGUUGGAGGAGAAUUUCUUUAUGAUCCAUGGGGAUGGGGACAGAGAGGAAAGGGAGACCACAGCAGGUUUCCUGCUCUAGAACAGGGAAUGAAACUGGUGUGACUGGGUCUCAGGAGCAGUAGGAGAGGUGUGUGUCUGCCUUUAGCGUAUUUUUGCCCUGUGAGAAGUUUCCCCUGGGUUAGCAGGAGUGACUACUGCAGUUGGGUUCUGGAUCAAAGCAACAAGGGUGGGGAGUGAGGUUAGAAAGGGAAGAUCUAGGGGAAACACAGUAGAUGGAGGCAGGGGCAGGAAAGGUAGUCAUGGCUGUUUUGCUGUAGAGCUGGGGGUGAGAGUGGGGAUUGGGUCUGAGGGAACAGAGAGGGGGGAAGGUCUGCAGGCAGCCUUCCUGCUAUCUCUAUUUCUGGCUGUCAUGGCCUUUGGUUUAACAGGGGUUGCUCCUUUACAUGGAAAAUCAGUCCUUGUAUAGGUAUUCAGAGGUCUGAAACAAAGAACAGGAAACAGACACAAGAGGAAUGCUGAGAUGCUAGUCUUCCAUCCUUUCUUGUAGUUACCUCAUGGGCCCAAGUGAGGAUUUGAUGAGUUUUUCUUUCCUUCAGAAUACAAAACAGCUCCUAAGUGCCUGUUAUACACCCAGGCCCUGGGACAGACAGAAGGCUCCAAUGCUGAGAAGGAUGCUGGCACAGGUACAGAGUUCUGGAUUACCUGUGACCAGGGAAAAGGUCAUCACUGUAAAUACUGCAUGUGUCAGUCCAUAAUAUUUUCCUAUAUUCCUGCCCACUUAUAGGCUUCGUGUGCUAAGGGGUUUGAAAAUCGUAGCGUGGCAGUGAUGCUGUCACAGACAGGCUUUUCAUGUCCAUCACUGCAUGAGUCAUUUGCUCUCUUGAGUGUGUGUUAUAAUCUGAGAACAGCAGUAUAAUGGUGGAGACAUCCUCGUGCAUCUGCAUGAUACUCUCGAGCUGUCAGGCAGAUGGUUCUCUCCUUUCCAGAAACUCAUGUUGAACAGGCACCUGAUCACUCCAGCAGAAGAGAAUUCUCAUAGGUGCAGGUUCAUUUGCCUGAAGACACCAUCUGCACUGGGGGCUGAAAAAAUAUGGUGGCCGAUGAUGAUGAUGAAGUGGUACCCAUGAACAGUGUUUCUCGGUCAUGAGAAUCUCAUCUGGUGCUGCUCUUCCCUCUUCACCCAUUCCCUUGUCACCUCGUUCAUGAAGAGUAACGGGAAGUGGAAAACGUGACGUGGCUGACUUGGAGCUGAUUCUUCACUGUGCAUUUCACACUGAGAGCAAGGGAUGCAAUCCCAGCAACCAGAGGGCUCAGCUUAUACAGAGCUGCAUCUGAGACAGAGUUCUCUCUUAAGUCCGAUGGAAGGAAGGUAGAGUGGCCCUAUCAGUCCACACUCUAAAGGUUUUACAUCCUUCCCACUCUGUCCUUCCUUCAGGUUUGACCAUCUUUAUUUAAGGUGUGAAGCUUGGUUUGUUUUCCUUUCUCCAGGAAAUGCUGCUUGCUGGGGUUUCAAGCUGCUGUGCACAUGCCAGGUAUAGAUUAUUGAAGAAAAAUACAUAUAUAUAUAUAUAUGUAUAUAUAUAUAUAUAUAUCCAUUCACACCUGCACACACACCAGAUGCUCUCAUGCUCAUCACGCAUGCUUACAGUCUGUCUACAAGUAGCAAUGGCAUGACAAUCUAUGAAGAGCUCUAUGUAUCACAGGGACCCUCUGUGUGUUGCUGCUUCACUUCCUGCAUGACUAUGAAGCAGGAGAAGAGGACUAAGAGCCAGUGAAAGCAGAAUUGCAAGGUCAUCUAGACAGUGUUGAUACCUUAGGGUCUGUGGGAGCAGUGCAGGAUUGUGAGACAUUGAGUCAGUCUGGAAGACAGUGGAGCUUUCAAAGGCUACCUAGACUAGACCAGACAUAAGAUCACAUAUGUUUGGGGAGCGUGAGUUCUAGAUGGUUCGCAGAGUGUCCAGGAUCCCUGGGACUCUUGGGUAAGAGUGUCUGGGGGAAGAUUAGAAACUAAAGACCAUCACCAACAUGGAGGUGCCGGUGUGGAGCUGAGAGUCAGCAGUAGAUGGCGACACAACACAGCACUUAAGACCCAAAUGCCUAGGUUGGUAUCGAUUUUCCAGGACCAGCUAAAUCCUUCACUGGGUAGAGCAUGUCAAAGUUCUGUGUCUCCUCCAUUUUACUAUAUCAGUAAGAGACAUGGGAACAAUAAAGAAGGUGACCGAACACCAUAAUGCCAUUUCCAUCACUUAAUAAAUAAAGGGGAUAAGCAGAAGGGGGAGAGGUAGUGUGAGUGAGAAAUAUUGAGCAGGUAUUCAUGUGUUCACUGCCCAUUGUGGACAAUAAUUGGCCAUACAGAGUGGAAGGGUCAAAGUAGAAAGGCUAGCUUGGUGUGGGGUGUGCAAGUUAGGACUAUGGAGCAGGUGAGUAUAGGCUAAUUCCAAUUGUAUUCACGUGUGCACUGCUGUGAAGAAAACCAUUAUUUGUGUUUUUACAAACACUUUUUGGGGCUUGGACUGCAUGUCAUUUUAUAGAGAUGCCUAUGAUGCAGGAAGCCUUUGAUGUGGUCCUAAGCCUCACAUAAAAAAAGGUGCACUGGCAUGAGCCUCUAAAGCUGGUAUUGGGAUGUGGAGGCUGCAGUAUCAGAAAAUUGAGAUCAUCCUGCUGAGUAAGGGAAUUUGCAGCCAGACUGAACUACAUGAGAUCACAACACUCAAGCCCUGAUAAAUACACAAACUCAACAGAUUUCAAUGAAUACAUAGUUGUUCACAUUGACACACACUCUUCUUUGAGCAGUGAGCUACUGCUUGAUCUGCUUAUUGCCUCAUGUAACACAUGCUGGGCAGUUCCAGGGUGUUCCAUUCAGAUACAGCCAUAAACAAAGAAAUGGAAAUUGGUGGUCUGGUGGAGUGUAACGGAACGGAAAUCCCAGCCUGUCACACACUUGUUCUCACUCGUUUUCAAUGCACCUAAUCAUGAACACCUCCCUCCUACACCACCAACCAUCCCUCCACUGUUCACUCUCAGUACCUGGCAAGUGGUUCUUUGCUCACAAUGAGUUCCAGAAAGACUGCAGAGCCCCUGGCAGGUCGCCCCUCCCCUCCCCGUGCUACCAUACUGUCCACUGCGGCUGGGUGUGUGGUGGUGGGCUGACAGUCUCAGGACCCUCAAUCAGAGAGUGAAACUUCAUUUCACAUGAAAAAAAUGAAAUCCAGCUGACUCCUCAAGGGUACUAUCAAAUGGCUUGAGUCAACUUUCUGUCACCUGCAAGAUAUAGGACUCUCAGUUCCAGCACCAUGUUUGGCUUCGUAUCUCCAUGCUCCCCAUCAUGAUGAUAAGGAACUUUAGGCUGAAACGGGAUGGAAGAAGAGCAUUAGCCUGAGAAUUCAAAAUCACCCCAAAAGAAAGCAAAGCUAGCUGAAAUCAAGAGAAAGAAACGUGUCAGGUUUGUGUUAUGUCACCAAAGGGACAGGAACAGAAAUCCCUCUUCUCCUGGAAAUGCAAAUCUGGAGAUGUUCAAAUGUGAAUACCACUGCUGCCAGAAAUAUGUGGGAAACACGUCUGGGAUGUCUGAGGGGACCAAGAGAGAAGCAACCUAUCAUUCACCAUCCUUAGAAAAGCUGACACUAGACCUCAAUAACUGACACUCAACUCAUAUACCACCCAGUCCCUCUUAUACAAGGAAAAACACAGAUAAUAGAAAAUGACAACAUGCAUUCGCAACAGAAAAACCAAAGAAUAUUUAAAAGGCUUCUCCAGUAAUGGACAGAAUAACUGUGGGCUUUACACCCUCCUUUGAAGAAGGUCAGAGGCUACAGGAUCCUGAAUGUCAACAUUAACCAUGUGGUGAAAUAUUUUUGGGAGCAUGAUCAGGAGGAGCAACCAUGUCCAACCUGUUGACAAUAACACCAUUACGUGUCCAGACUCAAACCUAUUCCAGAAAUGUUGCAAUCUUUUCCUUAGUAGUUUUGCAUCUUUCCUGGGACAUUCUGGAGAAAGAUGCUCCUAGGCCAGGGCAAUUAUGUAGUAAUGGUUCUAUACUCUCCAUGCUGCUGUUCCCAUGGUCAAGCUACCACUUUCCCCUCCACGAUUUUCAACUUUUCCUUCCUUCCUUUUUUUGUUGUUUUCAAAGGUGCUUUUGUUCCAUUUUAUUGACAGGAACUCAGAAGGAAAAUUAUGUCUGCUGGAAGUGUGUGUGUGUGUGUGUGUGUGUGUGUGUGUGUGUGUGUGUGUAUGUGUUGUUUGUGAUUUCUAUUUUUUUAAGUGUAUAAUCUGGUGAGAUAUCCACCAUUCAUGUUGGCAUACUAACAGAUGUUGUCAUUGUGGGUGUCUUAUUUAUGUGACCAUAGUGUUUAUAUUUUAUGGGCAUAGCUUGCCCUUCUCAUAUAGAAGACACAUUUUCAUUGCAGUUGUCCUGGUCCUCUGGAGCUUACAAUCUUUCUGCCCCAUCUUUCAAUAUAGUUCUUAAACCUUUUGUA
Molecule: long non-coding RNA, 5075 nt
Organism: Mesocricetus auratus (golden hamster)
Lineage: Eukaryota; Metazoa; Chordata; Mammalia; Rodentia; Cricetidae
Exons: 3
Source: RefSeq, a predicted model, not a curated record